GACGAACGCUGGCGGCGUGCCUAAUACAUGCAAGUCGAGCGGACUUGAAGGAGUGCUUGCCCUCCUGAGAGUUAGCGGCGGACGGGUGAGUAACACGUAGGCAACCUCCCCUCGAGACUGGGAUAACUACCGGAAACGGUAUCUGAUACCGGAUAAUUUAUUACAUAGCAUUAUGUGAUAAUGAAAGACUGAGCACUCUGUCACUUGGGGAUUGACCUGCGGCGCAUUAGCUAGUUGGUGGGGUAACUGCCCACCAAGGCGACGAUGCGUAGCCGACCUGAGAGGGUGAACGGCCACACUGUGACUGAGACACGGCCCAGACUCCUACGGGAGGCAGCAGUAGGGAAUCCUACGCAAUGGGCGAAAGCCUGACGGAGCAAAGCCGCGUGAGUGAUGAAGGUUUUCGGAUCGUAAAGCUCUGUUGCCAAGGAAGAACGUCUCAUAGAGUAACUGCUAUGAGAGUGACGGUACUUGAGAAGAAAGCCCCGGCUAACUACGUG
Molecule: ribosomal RNA, 500 nt
Filed under: uncultured bacterium
Lineage: Bacteria
Description: partial 16S ribosomal RNA
Rfam family: Bacterial small subunit ribosomal RNA
Source: RNAcentral